Molecule: ribosomal RNA, 253 nt
Filed under: uncultured bacterium
Lineage: Bacteria
Description: partial 16S ribosomal RNA
Rfam family: Bacterial small subunit ribosomal RNA
Source: RNAcentral
UACGUAGGAGGCAAGCGUUGUCCGGAAUUACUGGGUGUAAAGCGCGUGUAGGUGGUGGGCCAAGUCUGUGGUGAAAUCGCCCGGCUCAACUGGGCGGGGUCCGUGGAAACUGGUCGACUGGAGGACGGUAGAGGCGAGUGGAAUUCCCGGUGUAGUGGUGAAAUGCGUAGAGAUCGGGAGGAACACCAGUGGCGAAGGCGGCUCGCUGGGCCGGUCCUGACACUGAGACGCGAAGGCGUGGGGAGCGAACGGG